UUUCCAUGAAGAUCUGCACCGGAUCGGCGCUAAGGAGGGCCUGAAAGGUAGAAAACUGCAGAAGGCUAUGGAGAGCUACGCCUGGAACAUCACUGUUCUCAAGGGCCAGGCAGACUUGCUGAAGCACGCCAAAUCCGAGGCGAUGGACACGCUGAGGCAGAUCCACUACGCUGCUCACUCUUGCGGCCUGGCCAAGAAUGGAGCCUCUACAUCGCCGGCCUCGCCUUUGCUGCCUCCUUACCCACGGCUCCUCGGAGCCUUACACACCAUCCCUGAGACAGACUACCACAGCACAGACACAAAUACCCUACACUGAUAUAUAGAUAUAUAUAUACAGUACACACCGAGCGAGAGACAGAGAGAACGAGAAGAGGGAGGGAGCGAGACAGGACAGGUGACCUUGGAAAGGUGGGAACAAAGCAAUGACUUCAAGGACACAGAGAUAGAGGGAGUAAAAAGCGAUAGAAGCGUUAGAAGAAAGGCAGGUCUGUACAGAUUGGUCCACAGUUCUGUCCCUUCAGCUAGUUGCUAGACGAGUGGAAAGCCAAGGACUCCACUAGCUCUGAGGAAUCUGUAAUGAGAAGAUGG
Molecule: long non-coding RNA, 588 nt
Organism: Ictalurus punctatus (channel catfish)
Lineage: Eukaryota; Metazoa; Chordata; Actinopteri; Siluriformes; Ictaluridae
Source: Ensembl